GAGGAUAUAGCUCAGUGGUAGAGCAUGUGCUUAGCAUACACAAGAUCCUGGGGUCAAUCCCUACUACCUCCA
Molecule: transfer RNA, 72 nt
Filed under: Camelus bactrianus (Bactrian camel)
Lineage: Eukaryota; Metazoa; Chordata; Mammalia; Artiodactyla; Camelidae
Also listed under: 2 other names
Rfam family: tRNA
About the family: Transfer RNA (tRNA) molecules are approximately 80 nucleotides in length. Their secondary structure includes four short double-helical elements and three loops (D, anti-codon, and T loops).
Source: Rfam by way of RNAcentral